This 466-nucleotide ribosomal RNA is filed under the name uncultured bacterium. RNAcentral describes it as "bacterial SSU rRNA". It matches the Rfam family "Bacterial small subunit ribosomal RNA", at positions 329 to 792 of the family's 1533-position model. The record is from RNAcentral.
UGCCAGACUCCUACGGGAGGCAGCAGUGAGGAAUAUUGGUCAAUGGGCGCGAGCCUGAACCAGCCAAGUCGCGUGAGGGAAGACGGUCCUAUGGAUUGUAAACCUCUUUUGUCGGGGAGCAAAAAGGCCUCGUGAGGCCACAAGUGAGAGUACCCGAAGAAAAAGCAUCGGCUAACUCCGUGCCAGCAGCCGCGGUAAUACGGAGGAUGCGAGCGUUAUCCGGAUUUAUUGGGUUUAAAGGGUGCGUAGGCGGGACGUUAAGUCGGGGUAAAAAAGGGGGAGCUCAACUCCGUCGAGCCGUUGAAACUGCCGUUCUUGAGUGAGCGAGAAGUAUGCGGAAUGCGUGGUGUAGCGGUGAAAUGCAUAGAUAUCACGCAGAACUCCGAUUGCGAAGGCAGCAUACCGGCGCUCAACUGACGCUGAAGCACGAAGGCGUGGGUAUCGAACAGGAUCAGAUACCCGGGUA